GCGGCUAUGGCGAAAUUGGUAGACGCGAUGGUUUUAGGUACCAUUGGGCAACCGUGGGGGUUCGAGUCCCUCUAGCCGCACCA
RNAcentral lists this transfer RNA (83 nucleotides) under Sphingobium sp. RNAcentral's name for it is "tRNA-Leu". It matches the Rfam family "tRNA". From Rfam's summary of the family: Transfer RNA (tRNA) molecules are approximately 80 nucleotides in length. Their secondary structure includes four short double-helical elements and three loops (D, anti-codon, and T loops). Lineage: Bacteria; Pseudomonadati; Pseudomonadota; Alphaproteobacteria; Sphingomonadales; Sphingobiaceae. The record is from RNAcentral. RNAcentral also lists the same sequence under 3 other names.